RNAcentral lists this long non-coding RNA (1563 nucleotides) under Cyanistes caeruleus (blue tit). Its description in RNAcentral is "lncRNA (ENSCCEG00000014630.1)". The record is from RNAcentral. Lineage: Eukaryota; Metazoa; Chordata; Aves; Passeriformes; Paridae.
UAAACACAUGUACCUUCUGAGGCCUUUUCCUUUUCCAGGGGAAAUCACUGUAUUAACUAUUUUGUCACAGUUAGUGGCAGAGAUGCUACAGGAUCAUCAUGUGGAACAGCUGCUGGUAGGGAAAAAGAGGGAUCAACAAGUGACUAGCUGGAGGGACAAGGCCUUUAUUUAAAUGCCCUUGAGGUGAGUCUGGCAGGGAUGCACUCAUGCUAGUCACAGACUCUGCCCAGACUAGAAUCAUGGGUCAUUUCACAAACCCUGGUGACCUGCGAGCUCUGCUGGUAUUUAUCAUCCCAGCAAACAGUAUACUUGCCAGCCCAAUGAAUUAAGUAGCUCUGGGGUGGAGUUGCAACACAGUAGGCUCAUUAACUUAUUGUGAAAUCAGCAGAAUUUUGGAAUAGCACAGAAGAUCAGCAGAGGAUACACAGGACCAACAUCCCCUUUGUCCCUGCAGGCAGGAUUACCAGAGAAGACAUGAAGAGGUAGUAAGCAUGGACUAAGCUGGCAGCCUUCUGAGGGAGAAACAGCAAAAGGCUGAGUUAGAGAAGGAAAAGGAGAGCUUAAAUAUUAAAAAUGUUCCACAGCCCUGUGAUUUCAGAGCUCACUGCAGCUAUCAGCCCUGCUUUGAUUAUCAUACACCAGGCACAUUCUUGGAGCUGGUUCUCUCAGACCAGACCCUUUAGUUUGUGGAAAGAGAGUUCAAAUAUUGGCAAAUCAUCAUGCACAGAAAAGAUUGAACUUUCCAUACACUCUUUGAAAAGGAGUGAUGCAGCAACUGCAUGUACAGAGAAAAGGGUAGGCGUAGGCAUCCCUGGAUACUGUAUCAGAACAAAUGGUCAGAAUUCAGGUAUCUUUACUGAAUGUCCUCAAGCCAGACUUGCUUUUCCAGGCUUUUUAAGAAGAUUGGAUGGAAUCUGGAAGAGUGAUAAUACAGCAUAAACCAAAAAGUGAAAGACAUAGGCAUGGAUGAAAUUAUACAUAGUUUUAAAAGUAGAUGUUUCCUAACAGAUGUAUAAAAAAAUACAACCAAUUUCUAUAUUGUUGCCAAGCUAAGAUUCAUGCUUCCUAAGAUACUGAUCUUGGAUACUUUACUGCUAAUUUCUUUGGGUGAUUAAACUACUACCAGAAUUUAGCAUCAAGUACUAAAACAGUUUAAUAUCCCCUGAAAUCCUCCAAAGAAACUGAGAAUAAGGUAUUGAAAGACAGACUUUUUUUUUUUAUUUUAAUAAGAGACAAGCCAAAAGAACACUGGCCAUUUAUAUUGCUAUUUAUUUGUAUUGGGGUGAUUGAGAAAAUUCAAACUAUUUAUCCUACAUGCAAGUGACACACAGCCUUCUACUUCCACAGAUCCAAGACCAGCUGUAGACAAUGUGUAAACUCCACCUUACCUGUCUCCUGUCUUUUUCCAGUUCCCCCACACUCUCACAAGCUUUCUGAUUAAAAAUUACUUUGGCUGCUUUUGGUCUUGUUGGUGUGUACUCUGUUUGACAUUAGUCCCCCGGGAAACUAAAAUACCUAUCAUGUGAAGAAAUAAAAAACUUUAUCUAUGAUAGAGAAAGUCCA